UACGUAGGGGGCAAGCGUUGUCCGGAAUCACUGGGCGUAAAGCGCGCGCAGGCGGCGAUCUACGUCUGGGGUGAAAGCCCGGAGCUCAACUCCGGGACUGCCUUGGAUACGGGAUCGCUUGAGGAUUGGAGAGGCAAGGGGAAUUCCACGUGUAGCGGUGAAAUGCGUAGAUAUGUGGAGGAACACCUGUGGCGAAGGCGCCUUGCUGGCCAAUUUCUGACGCUGAGGCGCGAAAGCGUGGGGAGCAAACAGG
Molecule: ribosomal RNA, 253 nt
Filed under: uncultured bacterium
Lineage: Bacteria
Description: partial 16S ribosomal RNA
Rfam family: Bacterial small subunit ribosomal RNA
Source: RNAcentral